RNAcentral lists this ribosomal RNA (2930 nucleotides) under Enterobacter sp. HSTU-ASh6. RNAcentral's name for it is "23S ribosomal RNA". It matches the Rfam family "Bacterial large subunit ribosomal RNA". The record is from RNAcentral. Lineage: Bacteria; Pseudomonadati; Pseudomonadota; Gammaproteobacteria; Enterobacterales; Enterobacteriaceae.
GGGUUGUGAGGUUAAGCGACUAAGCGUACACGGUGGAUGCCCUGGCAGUCAGAGGCGAUGAAGGACGUGCUAAUCUGCGAAAAGCGCCGGCGAGGUGAUAUGAACCUUUGACCCGGCGAUGUCCGAAUGGGGAAACCCAGUGUGUUCCGACACACUAUCGUUAACUGAAUACAUAGGUUAACGAGGCGAACCGGGGGAACUGAAACAUCUAAGUACCCCGAGGAAAAGAAAUCAACCGAGAUUCCCCCAGUAGCGGCGAGCGAACGGGGAGCAGCCCAGAGUCUGAAUCAGCUUGUGUGUUAGUGGAACGGUCUGGAAAGUCCGACGGUACAGGGUGAUAGUCCCGUACACGAAAAUGCACAGGCUGUGAACUCGAAGAGUAGGGCGGGACACGUGGUAUCCUGUCUGAAUAUGGGGGGACCAUCCUCCAAGGCUAAAUACUCCUGACUGACCGAUAGUGAACCAGUACCGUGAGGGAAAGGCGAAAAGAACCCCGGCGAGGGGAGUGAAAAAGAACCUGAAACCGUGUACGUACAAGCAGUGGGAGCACCUUCGGGUGUGACUGCGUACCUUUUGUAUAAUGGGUCAGCGACUUAUAUUCUGUAGCAAGGUUAACCGUAUAGGGGAGCCGAAGGGAAACCGAGUCUUAACUGGGCGUUAAGUUGCAGGGUAUAGACCCGAAACCCGGUGAUCUAGCCAUGGGCAGGUUGAAGGUUGGGUAACACUAACUGGAGGACCGAACCGACUAAUGUUGAAAAAUUAGCGGAUGACUUGUGGCUGGGGGUGAAAGGCCAAUCAAACCGGGAGAUAGCUGGUUCUCCCCGAAAGCUAUUUAGGUAGCGCCUCGUGAACUCAUCUUCGGGGGUAGAGCACUGUUUCGGCUAGGGGGCCAUCCCGGCUUACCAACCCGAUGCAAACUACGAAUACCGAAGAAUGUUAUCACGGGAGACACACGGCGGGUGCUAACGUCCGUCGUGAAGAGGGAAACAACCCAGACCGCCAGCUAAGGUCCCAAAGUCAUGGUUAAGUGGGAAACGAUGUGGGAAGGCACAGACAGCCAGGAUGUUGGCUUAGAAGCAGCCAUCAUUUAAAGAAAGCGUAAUAGCUCACUGGUCGAGUCGGCCUGCGCGGAAGAUGUAACGGGGCUAAACCAUGCACCGAAGCUGCGGCAGCGACACUAUGUGUUGUUGGGUAGGGGAGCGUUCUGUAAGCCGUUGAAGGUGGCCUGUGAGGGUUGCUGGAGGUAUCAGAAGUGCGAAUGCUGACAUAAGUAACGAUAAAGCGGGUGAAAAGCCCGCUCGCCGGAAGACCAAGGGUUCCUGUCCAACGUUAAUCGGGGCAGGGUGAGUCGACCCCUAAGGCGAGGCCGAAAGGCGUAGUCGAUGGGAAACAGGUUAAUAUUCCUGUACUUGGUGUUACUGCGAAGGGGGGACGGAGAAGGCUAUGUUAGCCGGGCGACGGUUGUCCCGGUUUAAGCAUGUAGGCGGAGGUUCCAGGUAAAUCCGGUACCUUUUAACGCUGAGGUGUGAUGACGAGGCACUACGGUGCUGAAGUAACAAAUGCCCUGCUUCCAGGAAAAGCCUCUAAGCAUCAGGUAACAUCAAAUCGUACCCCAAACCGACACAGGUGGUCAGGUAGAGAAUACCAAGGCGCUUGAGAGAACUCGGGUGAAGGAACUAGGCAAAAUGGUGCCGUAACUUCGGGAGAAGGCACGCUGAUAUGUAGGUGAAGCCCCUGCGGGUGGAGCUGAAAUCAGUCGAAGAUACCAGCUGGCUGCAACUGUUUAUUAAAAACACAGCACUGUGCAAACACGAAAGUGGACGUAUACGGUGUGACGCCUGCCCGGUGCCGGAAGGUUAAUUGAUGGGGUUAGCGGCAACGCGAAGCUCUUGAUCGAAGCCCCGGUAAACGGCGGCCGUAACUAUAACGGUCCUAAGGUAGCGAAAUUCCUUGUCGGGUAAGUUCCGACCUGCACGAAUGGCGUAAUGAUGGCCAGGCUGUCUCCACCCGAGACUCAGUGAAAUUGAACUCGCUGUGAAGAUGCAGUGUACCCGCGGCAAGACGGAAAGACCCCGUGAACCUUUACUAUAGCUUGACACUGAACACUGGUCCUUGAUGUGUAGGAUAGGUGGGAGGCUUUGAAGUGUGGACGCCAGUCUGCAUGGAGCCGUCCUUGAAAUACCACCCUUUAAUGGCUGGUGUUCUAACGUAGACCCGUAAUCCGGGUUGCGGACAGUGUCUGGUGGGUAGUUUGACUGGGGCGGUCUCCUCCCAAAGAGUAACGGAGGAGCACGAAGGUUAGCUAAUCCUGGUCGGACAUCAGGAGGUUAGUGCAAUGGCAUAAGCUAGCUUGACUGCGAGAGUGACGGCUCGAGCAGGUGCGAAAGCAGGUCAUAGUGAUCCGGUGGUUCUGAAUGGAAGGGCCAUCGCUCAACGGAUAAAAGGUACUCCGGGGAUAACAGGCUGAUACCGCCCAAGAGUUCAUAUCGACGGCGGUGUUUGGCACCUCGAUGUCGGCUCAUCACAUCCUGGGGCUGAAGUAGGUCCCAAGGGUAUGGCUGUUCGCCAUUUAAAGUGGUACGCGAGCUGGGUUUAGAACGUCGUGAGACAGUUCGGUCCCUAUCUGCCGUGGGCGCUGGAGAAUUGAGGGGGGCUGCUCCUAGUACGAGAGGACCGGAGUGGACGCAUCACUGGUGUUCGGGUUGUCAUGCCAAUGGCACUGCCCGGUAGCUAAAUGCGGAAGAGAUAAGUGCUGAAAGCAUCUAAGCACGAAACUUGCCCCGAGAUGAGUUCUCCCUGAGCCUUUAAGGCUCCUGAAGGAACGUUGAAGACGACGACGUUGAUAGGUCGGGUGUGUAAGCGCAGCGAUGCGUUGAGCUAACCGAUACUAAUGAACCGUGAGGCUUAACCUUACAACGCCGAAGGUGUUU